This 663-nucleotide long non-coding RNA is filed under the name Nicotiana benthamiana. RNAcentral's name for it is "long non-coding RNA (NBEN_LNC010530)". Lineage: Eukaryota; Viridiplantae; Streptophyta; Magnoliopsida; Solanales; Solanaceae. The record is from RNAcentral.
UUGGACAAUUUGAAAAUACUAAGCGACGGGACCAUGAAUCUGGCUGAAAAAAAAAAGUUGAGCAGCGACCAAAGAAGCCAACAGAGACACGAACACGACAGAACAUCAAACGGAACCUCGUGCCGACUACAAAUCGACCCUCUCCGCUUAAUGGAACUCCAUAUUUCAGCAAAGAUUCAAAGCUUCAAAUCUCUUAAGGAAGUUCAAAUCUCAAUAAAUUCCCAGAUUAAGAACAGAGACUAUUGAAGCCAACAAUCAGAGAAGAAACUAAAUUUUGUUUUGUAUUUUUCGGGCUUGAAGACAAAAAUUAAAACUCCAAGGAACUGAUUUUUUUAUAUGUAUCUACAUGUAAAUAAAAUUGAGUUGAAAAUCAGAAGAAGAAAGUUGGAACCAAAAUGCAAAACCUCCAAUCUUAAUUUUUCCAAUCCUUUCUGUCCGGAACUUCUCCUUUGUUUUUGCGUACUGUUCUCCUGUGCAUGGGGGUGUGUCAUAGCUGGGAAGGGUGGUCGUUCACCAGCGUGAAGUUAGAGGGGCUAGCGGUGGCGCUAUGGUGUUAGGGGUGUUCUGGCCGACAACUUUCUGUUUGGUUAAGGUGUUGUGUAUUGGUUAUCAAGAUGAAAAUGGGUUAGGGUUUUAAUCUUGUAUUUAGUUCAGAAAUAAGAG